UUGUAGAUUUCAGAGUUAAUACGCUCAGCCAGCACAUAGUCAUUUCAAUUUUGUGAUGCAGAUGAAAUGUCUACUUAGCUGAAGAUUUUAGGUCUUUCCUCCUGGACUGAAGUUAGAAAGAACAAGAGAAAGAAGGAGAAGAGAAGGGAGGGAGAAGAAAAAGAAAAUAAAAAAGAUUUAUGUAGGAAAAGUCAAAGAAGACAUAAAGAAAAUUAUCUUCUAAAGAAGAAGAAAAGGAUUUUCUACCAGAAAUACCUGUAGGAAAAAAAUUCUAUUUGGAAGAUUUGCAAAACCUUCCAUGAAAUAAUAACCUGUGUUGUCGUGAGGUGUUAUAAAUUCAUUUCACAAAUCUGUAAGAUUUUGUAUGUGGCAAA
Long non-coding RNA from Passer domesticus (house sparrow), 374 nucleotides. RefSeq lists it as uncharacterized. Lineage: Eukaryota; Metazoa; Chordata; Aves; Passeriformes; Passeridae. The record is from RefSeq and is a predicted model, not a curated record. The transcript is spliced from 3 exons.